This 205-nucleotide unclassified non-coding RNA is filed under the name Hevea brasiliensis (rubber tree). The record is from RNAcentral. Lineage: Eukaryota; Viridiplantae; Streptophyta; Magnoliopsida; Malpighiales; Euphorbiaceae.
GGAUUUGAUAUGGAUGAUGAAGAAAAACCUCCGAAUCGAAAUGCUCAAGACUUUUUUAACAUGUAGAGAGCAGUAGAAGAGCCAUUGUUCUUUGGAUGUAUGAUUCAUACUCCACUGUCAGUGGUGUGCAGGCUACUAAACAUUAAGUCAGAGUUUAACAUGAGCGAGAACUGUUACAAUCGAAUUUUGCUUCUUCUGAAAGAGC